Molecule: long non-coding RNA, 1019 nt
Organism: Neopelma chrysocephalum (saffron-crested tyrant-manakin)
Lineage: Eukaryota; Metazoa; Chordata; Aves; Passeriformes; Pipridae
Exons: 3
Source: RefSeq, a predicted model, not a curated record
CUGAAAGGAAACUUGAGAUGUGAUUGCUCCUGGCUGUGGCCUGCCUGGGUAGUUCUGGAAGAUCUUAAGAAACACAGACUCCAUCGUGUCCCCAGGUCAUCUGCUUUAGUGCCUCACUCUCUGUGUGCUUAGAAAAGCUUUCCUAGUGCCUAAAUGGAAUUUUUUCUGCCUCAGUUUUAGUCCUUUCCUUCCUGUCCUAUCCACUGUGGACAUGGAGAACAGGUUGCUUUUUCUUCCUUCAGCAACCUUUGACACACUUGCAGAAGUCCUGUCCUCUUUUCUCUCCUUCUUUGGCCAAUUUAGUUAAUUGGAGCUGCAGAAUUUAAAGGGUAUUAGAUGAUGAACCCACCUUAAAUAUAUUUAAAGACUGGAAAUGGAUUUUGAAGUAAGAACUCUGGAAUUUGUUGGUUGUGAUUAGUAUUUAUCUUUCAAAUGUUAAAUAACUCAGAAAUACAUUGGAGUGCCUCCCCUUUCAGGCCUCCUUUGUUUGCCUACAGCAAACAAUUUUCUUGAUGAAAAAAUGUAGAAUAUAAAUAAGCUGUGAUAUGUUUUUUGGUUUUUUUCAGGCUAUGGCUUGGUACACUCCUCUCUACUGGAACAGAAGACAAGGAUGGGGGUGAAAGAGGAAAGUGAAACAUUUGAGAAUAUUGUCAUAAAACUUUCUCAAGGACUGAGCAAAAAGAAGGAUGGGAAAAUGAACAGGAAUUUACAAGAACUGAUUCAGAGUGAAAAAGAAACAAGAAAAAAAGACAAAGCUUCAUUAAAAGGAGGAAAAAAUAGACUUUUACAUCCCUUUUCCCUAAUCAAAGUGCCUGGUGCCAAAGUUAAGUGUCUCCCACUGAACCCUCACUUUUCCCAUUGAUGGGAAUGAUGGCAGCAGUUUUUCAAGUCAUCAAGGCCUGACCCUGUGCCAGAGCUGGGUCCCCCAUACCUGUUCUGAUAGUUUCCUGGACAGGGAAAAGCUGGGGACAGAGAGGAAUUGGCACCUGGGAGUGCUGGUUGCGACGUGGCAGAGAGAG